UACAGAGGAUGCAAGCGUUAUCCGGAAUGAUUGGGCGUAAAGCGUCUGUAGGUGGCUUUUUAAGUCCGCCGUCAAAUCCCAGGGCUCAACCCUGGACAGGCGGUGGAAACUACCAAGCUGGAGUACGGUAGGGGCAGAGGGAAUUUCCGGUGGAGCGGUGAAAUGCGUAGAUAUGCGGAGGAACACCGAUGGCGAAGGCAAUCCCCUGGGCCUGCACUGACGCUCAUGCACGAAAGCGUGGGGAGCAAACAGG
Molecule: ribosomal RNA, 253 nt
Filed under: uncultured bacterium
Lineage: Bacteria
Description: partial 16S ribosomal RNA
Rfam family: Bacterial small subunit ribosomal RNA
Source: RNAcentral